GCAGCCGCCGCGGUAAUACGAAGGGGGCUAGCGUUGCUCGGAAUUACUGGGCGUAAAGGGAGCGUAGGCGGGUCGUUUAGUCAGAGGUGAAAUCCCGGGGCUCAACCUCGGAACUGCCUUUGAUACUGGCGACCUUGAGUAUGGGAGAGGUAAGCGGGACUCCGAGUGUAGAGGUGAAAUUCGUAGAUAUUCGGAAGAACACCAGUGGCGAAGGCGGCUUACUGGCCCAUUACUGACGCUGAGGCUCGAAAGCGUGGGGAGCAAACAGGAUUAGAUACCCCUGUAGUCCCUGUCUCUUAUAC
This 302-nucleotide ribosomal RNA is filed under the name uncultured bacterium. Its description in RNAcentral is "partial 16S ribosomal RNA". It matches the Rfam family "Bacterial small subunit ribosomal RNA", at positions 508 to 807 of the family's 1533-position model. The record is from RNAcentral.